RNAcentral lists this ribosomal RNA (512 nucleotides) under Batrisopsis myrmecophila. RNAcentral describes it as "partial large subunit ribosomal RNA". It matches the Rfam family "Bacterial large subunit ribosomal RNA", at positions 1825 to 2600 of the family's 2925-position model. The record is from RNAcentral. Lineage: Eukaryota; Metazoa; Arthropoda; Insecta; Coleoptera; Staphylinidae.
GUCUUUUUGAAUAUAAUUUAAGGUCUAAUCUGCCCACUGAUUUAAAUAUUAAAGGGCCGCAGUAAUUUGACUGUGCAAAGGUAGCAUAAUAAUUAGUUUUUUAAUUGAAAGCUGGUAUGAAUGAUUGGACGAGAAUAUAGCUGUCUUAAUUUAAUUUAUUUAGAAUUUUAUUUUUAAGUUAAAAAGCUUAAAUUUUAUUUAAAGACGAGAAGACCCUAUAGAGUUUUAUAUAAAAAUUAAUAUUAAUAAAUAGAUAAAUUUUUUAUUAUUAAUGGGAUAUUUUAUUGGGGCGGUAGAAAGAUUUAUUAAACUUUUUUAAUAUUUAAACAAUAAAUUUUGGAAUUUUGAUCCUUUUUUAAGAUUAGUUGAUUAAAUUACCUUAGGGAUAACAGCGUAAUUUUUUUGGAGAGUUCUUAUUGAUAAAAAAGAUUGCGACCUCGAUGUUGGAUUAAGAUUAAUUUUUAAUGUAGAAGUUAAAAAUAUUAAGUCUGUUCGACUUUUAAAAUCUUACA